AGAGUUUGAUCAUGGCUCAGGACGAACGCUGGCGGCGUGCUUAACACAUGCAAGUCGAACGAUGAAGCCAGCUUGCUGGUGGAUUAGUGGCGAACGGGUGAGUAACACGUGGGUGAUCUGCCCUGUACUUUGGGAUAAGCCUGGGAAACUGGGUCUAAUACCGAAUAUUACCUUCUCCUGCAUGGGGGUUGGUGGAAAGCUCCGGCGGUAUGGGAUGGGCCCGCGGCCUAUCAGCUUGUUGGUGGGGUAAUGGCCUACCAAGGCGACGACGGGUAGCCGGCCUGAGAGGGCGACCGGCCACACUGGGACUGAGACACGGCCCAGACUCCUACGGGAGGCAGCAGUGGGGAAUAUUGCACAAUGGGCGCAAGCCUGAUGCAGCGACGCCGCGUGAGGGAUGACGGCCUUCGGGUUGUAAACCUCUUUCACCAGGGACGAAGCGAAAGUGACGGUACCUGGAGAAGAAGCACCGGCCAACUACGUGCCAGCAGCCGCGGUAAUACGUAGGGUGCGAGCGUUGUCCGGAAUUACUGGGCGAAAGAGCUCGUAGGCGGUUUGUCGCGUCGUUCGUGAGAACUUGGGGCUUAACUCCAAGCGUGCGGGCGAUACGGGCAGACUUGAGUACUACAGGGGAGACUGGAAUUCCUGGUGUAGCGGUGAAAUGCGCAGAUAUCAGGAGGAACACCGGUGGCGAAGGCGGGUCUCUGGGUAGUAACUGACGCUGAGGAGCGAAAGCGUGGGUAGCGAACAGGAUUAGAUACCCUAGUAGUCC
Molecule: ribosomal RNA, 772 nt
Filed under: uncultured bacterium
Lineage: Bacteria
Description: bacterial SSU rRNA
Rfam family: Bacterial small subunit ribosomal RNA
Source: RNAcentral